AUACGUAGGUGGCAAGCGUUAUCCGGAAUUAUUGGGCGUAAAGAGCUCGUAGGCGGCUUGUCACGUCGAUUGUGAAAGCCCGAGGCUCAACCUCGGGUCUGCAGUCGAUACGGGCUGGCUAGAGUGUGGUAGGGGAGAUCGGAAUUCCUGGUGUAGCGGUGAAAUGCGCAGAUAUCAGGAGGAACACCGGUGGCGAAGGCGGAUCUCUGGGCCAUUACUGACGCUGAGGAGCGAAAGCGUGGGGAGCAAACAG
Molecule: ribosomal RNA, 253 nt
Filed under: uncultured prokaryote
Description: partial 16S ribosomal RNA
Rfam family: Bacterial small subunit ribosomal RNA
Source: RNAcentral